RNAcentral lists this ribosomal RNA (470 nucleotides) under uncultured bacterium. RNAcentral describes it as "bacterial SSU rRNA". It matches the Rfam family "Bacterial small subunit ribosomal RNA", at positions 28 to 471 of the family's 1533-position model. The record is from RNAcentral.
GACGAACGCUGGCGGCGUGCUUAACACAUGCAAGUCGAACGGAGCGAAUGAAAGCUUGCUUUUAUAAGCUUAGUGGCAAACGGGUGAGUAACACGUAGACAACCUGCCGACAGGAUGGGGACAACAUUCCGAAAGGAAUGCUAAUACCGAAUGAAGUGCAGGGGAGGCAUCUCCCCUGCAUGAAAGAUGGCCUCUUUUUAUGCUAUCACCUGUUGAUGGGUCUGCGUCUGAUUAGCUGGUAGGUGAGGUAACGGCUCACCUAGGCGACGAUCAGUAGCCGGUCUGAGAGGAUGAACGGCCACAUUGGGACUGAGACACGGCCCAGACUCCUACGGGAGGCAGCAGUGGGGAAUCUUCCGCAAUGGGCGCAAGCCUGACGGAGCAACGCCGCGUGAGUGAAGAAGGUCUUCGGAUCGUAAAGCUCUGUUGAUGGGGACGAACGUGCCUAAUGCGAAUAGUAUUAGGUAANG